Molecule: ribosomal RNA, 425 nt
Filed under: uncultured bacterium
Lineage: Bacteria
Description: partial 16S ribosomal RNA
Rfam family: Bacterial small subunit ribosomal RNA
Source: RNAcentral
UGGGGAAUUUUGGACAAUGGGCGCAAGCCUGAUCCAGCCAUGCCGCGUGCGGGAAGAAGGCCUUCGGGUUGUAAACCGCUUUUGUCAGGGAAGAAAUCUUCUGAGUUAAUACCUCGGGAGGAUGACGGUACCUGAAGAAUAAGCACCGGCUAACUACGUGCCAGCAGCCGCGGUAAUACGUAGGGUGCAAGCGUUAAUCGGAAUACUGGGCGUAAAGCGUGCGCAGGCGGUUUUGUAAGACAGAGGUGAAAUCCCCGGGCUCAACCUGGGAACUGCCUUUGUGACUGCAAGGCUUGAGUGCGGCAGAGGGGGGAUGGAAUUCCGCGUGUAGCAGUGAAAUUGCGUAGAUAUGGGGAGGAACACCGAUGGCGAAGGCAAUCCCCCUGGGCCUGCANUGACGCUCAUGCACGAAAGCGUGGGGGAGC